RNAcentral lists this ribosomal RNA (561 nucleotides) under Cladorrhinum intermedium. Its description in RNAcentral is "partial 28S ribosomal RNA". It matches the Rfam family "Eukaryotic large subunit ribosomal RNA", at positions 38 to 625 of the family's 3401-position model. The record is from RNAcentral. Lineage: Eukaryota; Fungi; Ascomycota; Sordariomycetes; Sordariales; Podosporaceae.
GCAUAUCAAUAAGCGGAGGAAAAGAAACCAACAGGGAUUGCCCUAGUAACGGCGAGUGAAGCGGCAACAGCUCAAAUUUGAAAUCUGGCCUCGGCCCGAGUUGUAAUUUGUAGAGGAAGCUUUUGGCACGGCACCUGCUGAGUCCCCUGGAACGGGGCGCCAGAGAGGGUGAGAGCCCCGUAUAGCAGGACGCCUAGCCUCGGUAAAGCUCCUUCGACGAGUCGAGUAGUUUGGGAAUGCUGCUCAAAAUGGGAGGUAAAUUUCUUCUAAAGCUAAAUACCGGCCAGAGACCGAUAGCGCACAAGUAGAGUGAUCGAAAGAUGAAAAGCACUUUGAAAAGAGGGUUAAAUAGCACGUGAAAUUGUUGAAAGGGAAGCGCUUGUGACCAGACUUGCGCCGGGCUGAUCAUCCGGGGUUCUCCCCGGUGCACUCUGCCCGGCUCAGGCCAGCAUCGGUUCUUGCGGGGGGAUAAAGGCCCUGGGAACGUAGCUCCCUCGGGAGUGUUAUAGCCCGGGGCGUAAUGCCCUCGCGGGGACCGAGGACCGCGCUUCGGCAAGGAUG